This 73-nucleotide transfer RNA is filed under the name Phycisphaerae bacterium. RNAcentral describes it as "tRNA-Phe". It matches the Rfam family "tRNA". From Rfam's summary of the family: Transfer RNA (tRNA) molecules are approximately 80 nucleotides in length. RNAcentral also lists the same sequence under 2 other names. The record is from RNAcentral. Lineage: Bacteria; Pseudomonadati; Planctomycetota; Phycisphaerae.
GGGCAGGUAGCUCAGUUGGUAGAGCAACGGACUGAAAAUCCGUGUGUCGGUGGUUCAAGUCCACUUCUGCCCA